Molecule: ribosomal RNA, 669 nt
Filed under: Rhizobium sp.
Lineage: Bacteria; Pseudomonadati; Pseudomonadota; Alphaproteobacteria; Hyphomicrobiales; Rhizobiaceae
Description: bacterial SSU rRNA
Rfam family: Bacterial small subunit ribosomal RNA
Source: RNAcentral
UGCUGACGAGUGGCGAACGGGUGAGUAAUACAUCGGAACGUGCCUAGUAGUGGGGGAUAACUACUCGAAAGAGUAGCUAAUACCGCAUGAGAUCUACGGAUGAAAGCAGGGGAUCGCAAGACCUUGUGCUACUAGAGCGGCUGAUGGCAGAUUAGGUAGUUGGUGGGAUAAAAGCUUACCAAGCCGACGAUCUGUAGCUGGUCUGAGAGGACGAUCAGCCACACUGGGACUGAGACACGGCCCAGACUCCUACGGGAGGCAGCAGUGGGGAAUUUUGGACAAUGGGCGAAAGCCUGAUCCAGCAAUGCCGCGUGCAGGAUGAAGGCCUUCGGGUUGUAAACUGCUUUUGUACGGAACGAAAAGCUUUGGGUUAAUACCCUGGAGUCAUGACGGUACCGUAAGAAUAAGCACCGGCUAACUACGUGCCAGCAGCCGCGGUAAUACGUAGGGUGCAAGCGUUAAUCGGAAUUACUGGGCGUAAAGCGUGCGCAGGCGGUUUUGUAAGACAGAGGUGAAAUCCCCGGGCUCAACCUGGGAACUGCCUUUGUGACUGCAAGGCUAGAGUACGGCAGAGGGGGGUGGAAUUCCGCGUGUAGCAGUGAAAUGCGUAGAUAUGCGGAGGAACACCGAUGGCGAAGGCAACCCCCUGGGCCUGUACUGACGCUCAUG